GAUGAACGCUGGCGGCGUGCUUAACACAUGCAAGUCGAACGGAAAGGCCCAAGCUUGCUUGGGUGCUCGAGUGGCGAACGGGUGAGUAACACGUGGGUGAUCUGCCCUGCACUUUGGGAUAAGCCUGGGAAACUGGGUCUAAUACCGGAUAGGACCAUCGUUUAGUGUCGGUGGUGGAAAGUUUUUCGGUGUGGGAUGAGCUCGCGGCCUAUCAGCUUGUUGGUGGGGUAAUGGCCUACCAAGGCGUCGACGGGUAGCCGGCCUGAGAGGGUGUACGGCCACAUUGGGACUGAGAGACGGCCCAGACUCCUACGGGAGGCAGCAGUGGGGAAUAUUGCACAAUGGGCGCAAGCCUGAUGCAGCGACGCCGCGUGGGGGAUGACGGCCUUCGGGUUGUAAACUCCUUUCGCCAAGGACGAAGCGUUUUGUGACGGUACUUGGAGAAGAAGCACCGGCUAACUACGUG
Molecule: ribosomal RNA, 466 nt
Filed under: uncultured bacterium
Lineage: Bacteria
Description: partial 16S ribosomal RNA
Rfam family: Bacterial small subunit ribosomal RNA
Source: RNAcentral